GAUGAACGCUAGCGGCAGGCCUAAUACAUGCAAGUCGAGGGAGAAUGUUGGAUUCGUCUGACAUGAAACCGGCGCACGGGUGCGUAACACGUAUGCAACCUACCUUUAACUGGGGUAUAGCUCAGAGAAAUCUGAAUUAAUCCCCCAUAAGACUACGACAUGGCAUCAUGAUGUAGUUAAAGCUCCGGCGGUUAAGGAUGGGCAUGCGGUACAUUAGCUAGUUGGUGAGGUAAUGGCUCACCAAGGCUACGAUGUAUAGGGGGUCUGAGAGGAUGAUCCCCCACACUGGUACGGGGGCACGGACCAGACGCGGACGGGGGGCAGGAGUGGGGAGUGUUGGGCAAUGGACGCAAGUCUGAACCAGCCAUGCCGCGUGAAGGAUGAAGGCCCUAUGGGUCGUAAACUUCUUUUAUUAGGGAAGAAAAAACGGGAUGCGUCCUGUACUGACGGUACUUAAUGAAUAAGGAUCGGCUAACUUCGUGCCAGCAGCCGCCGUAA
This 498-nucleotide ribosomal RNA is filed under the name uncultured bacterium. Its description in RNAcentral is "partial 16S ribosomal RNA". It matches the Rfam family "Bacterial small subunit ribosomal RNA", at positions 28 to 523 of the family's 1533-position model. The record is from RNAcentral.